UACGGGAGGCAGCAGUGGGGAAUAUUGCACAAUGGGCGAAAGCCUGAUGCAGCUAUGCCGCGUGUAUGAAGAAGGCCUUAGGGUUGUAAAGUACUUUCAUCGGGGAGGAAAAACAAAACUAAUAAUUUUAUUUCUUGACGUUACCCGAAAAAGAAGCACCGGCUAACUCCGUGCCAGCAGCCGCGGUAAUACGGAGGGUGCUAGCGUUAAUCAGAAUUACUGGGCGUAAAGAGCACGUAGGUGGUUUUUUUAAGUCAGAUGUGAAAUCCCUGGGCUUAACCUAGGAACUGCAUUUUGAAACUGAAAUACUAGAGUAUCGUAGAGGAAGGUAGAAUUCUAGGUGUAGCGGUGAAAUGCGUAGAUAUCUGGAGGAAUACCUGUGGCGAAAGCGGCCUCCUAAACGAAUACUGACACUGAGGUGCGAAAGCGUGGGGAGCAAACAGGGAUUAGAUACC
RNAcentral lists this ribosomal RNA (455 nucleotides) under uncultured bacterium. RNAcentral describes it as "bacterial SSU rRNA". It matches the Rfam family "Bacterial small subunit ribosomal RNA", at positions 340 to 786 of the family's 1533-position model. The record is from RNAcentral.